CUGGCCUCUGAAGAGGAAGACGUUGUGGUGGCACCUUCAGUGGAUGUUGGAGAGGAACUGGCCUCUGAAGAAGAAGACGUUGUGCUGGACCGUUCAGUGGAUGUUGGAGAGGAAGUGGCCUCUGUAGAAGAAGGCACUGUUGUGACAUUGUCAGUUGGAGUAGGAGCAGAACUGAGAUCUGUAGAUGUAGGCACUGUGGUGGCACUCUCAGUGGGGGUUGGAGAGGAAGUGGCUGCUGUAGAAGAUAUCACUUUGGUAGUGCUGUCAGUGGAAGGUGGAGACGUACUGGCUUCUGAAGAAGAAGACGUUGUGGUGGCACCUUCAGUGGAUGUUGGAGAGGAAGUGGCCUCUGUAGAAGAAGGCACUGUUGUGGCACUGUCAGUGGGAGUAGGAGAGGAACUGAGAUCUGUAGAUGUAGGAACUGUGGUGGCACUCUCAGUGGGGAUUGGAGAGGAAGUGGCUGCUGUAGAAGAAAUCACUGUGGUCGUGCUGUCAGUGGAAGGUGGAGACGAACUGGCCUCUGAAGAGGAAGACGUUGUGGUGGCACCUUCAGUGGAUGUUGGAGAGGAAGUGGCUGCUGUAGAAGAAAUCACUGUGGUGGCACCUUCAGUGGAUGUUGGAGAGGAAGUGGCCUCUGUAGAAGAAGGCACUGUUGUGGCAUUGUCAGUGGGAGUAGGAGAGGAACUAAGAUCUGUAGAUGUAGGAACUGUGGUGGCACUCUCAGUGGGGAUUGGAGAGGAAGUGGCUGCUGUAGAAGAAAUCACUGUGGUGGCACUCUCAGUGGGGGUUGGAGAGGAAGUGGCUGCUGUAGAAGAAAUCACUGUGGUGGCACUCUCAGUGGGGGUUGGAGAGGAAGUGGCUGCUGUAGAAGAAGUCACUGUGGUCGUGCUGUCAGUGGAAGGUGGAGACGAACUGGCCUCUGAAGAAGAAGACGUUGUGGUGGCACCUUCAGUGGAUGUUGGAGAGGAAGUGGCUGCUGUAGAAGAAAUCACUGUGGUGGCACUCUCAGUGGGGGUUGGAGAGGAAGUGGCCUCUGUAGAAGAAGGCACUGUUGUGGCAUUGUCAGUGGGAGUAGGAGAGGAACUGAGAUCUGUAGAUGUAGGCACUGUGGUGGCACUCUCAGUGGGGGUUGGAGAGGAAGUGGCUGCUGUAGAAGAAAUCACUGUGGUCGUGCUGUCAGUGGAAGGUGGAGACGAACUGGCCUCUGAAGAAGAAGACGUUGUGGUGGCACCUUCAGUGGAUGUUGGAGAGGAAGUGGCCUCUGUAGAAGAAGGCACUGUUGUGGCAUUGUCAGUGGGAGUAGGAGAGGAACUGAGAUCUGUAGAUGUAGGCACUGUGGUGGGAGUCUCAGUGGGGGUUGGAGAGGAAGUGGCUGCUGUAGAAGAAAUCACUGUGGUGGCACUCUCAGUGGGGGUUGGAGAGGAAGUGGCUGCUGUAGAAGAAAUCACUGUGGUCGUGCUGUCAGUGGAAGGUGGAGACGAACUGGCCUCUGAAGAGGAAGACACUGUGGUAGUGCUGUCACUGGAAGGUGGAGACGAACUGGCCUCUGAAGAGGAAGACGUUGUGGUGGCACCUUCAGUGGAUGUUGGAGAGGAAGUGGCCUCUGUAGAAGAAGGCACUGUUGUGGCAUUGUUAUUGGGAGUAGGAGAGGAACUGAGAUCUGUAGAUGUAGGCACUGUGGUGGGACUCUCAGUGGGGGUUGGAGAGGAAGUGGCUGCUGUAGAAGAAAUCACUGUGGUCGUGCUGUCAGUGGAAGGUGGAGACGAACUGGCCUCUGAAGAGGAAGACGUUGUGGUGGCACCUUCAGUGGAUGUUGGAGAGGAAGUGGCCUCUGUAGAAGAAGGCACUGUUGUGGCAUUGUUAUUGGCAGUAGGGGAGGAACUGAGAUCUGUAGAUGUAGGCACUGUGGUGGGACUCUCAGUGGGGGUUAGAGAGGAAGUGGCUGCUGUAGAAGAAAUCACUGUGGUCGUGCUGUCAGUGGAAGGUGGAGACGAACUGGCCUCUGAAGAGGAGGACGUUGUGGUGGCACCUUCAGUGGAUGUUGGAGAGGAAGUGGCCUCUGUAGAAGAAGGCACUGUUGUGGCAUUGUUAUUGGCAGUAGGGGAGGAACUGAGAUCUGUAGAUGUAGGCACUGUGGUGGGAGUCUCAGUGGGGGUUGGAGAGGAAGUGGCUGCUGUAGAAGAAAUCACUGUGGUCGUGCUGUCAGUGGAAGGUGGAGACGAACUGGCCUCUGAAGAGGAGGACGUUGUGGUGGCACCUUCAGUGGAUGUUGGAGAGGAAGUGGCCUCUGUAGAAGAAGGCACUGUUGUGGCAUUGUUAUUGGCAGUAGGGGAGGACCUGAGAUCUGUAGAUGUAGGCACUGUGGUGGGACUCUCAGUGGGGGUUGGAGAGGAAGUGGCUGCUGUAGAAGAAAUCACUGUGGUGGCACUCUCAGUGGGGGUUGGAGAGGAAGUGGCUGCUGUAGAAGAAAUCACUGUGGUCGUGCUGUCAGUGGAAGGUGGAGACGAACUGGCCUCUGAAGAGGAAGACACUGUGGUAGUGCUGUCACUGGAAGGUGGAGACGAACUGGCCUCUGAAGAGGAGGACGUUGUGGUGGCACCUUCAGUGGAUGUUGGAGAGGAAGUGGCCUCUGUAGAAGAAGACACUGUUGUGGCAUUGUUAUUGGCAGUAGGGGAGGACCUGAGAUCUGUAGAUGUAGGCACUGUGGUGGGAGUCUCAGUGGGGGUUGGAGAGGAAGUGGCUGCUGUAGAAGAAAUCACUGUGGUCGUGCUGUCAGUGGAAGGUGGAGACGAACUGGCCUCUGAAGAGGAAGACGUUGUGGUGGCACCUUCAGUGGAUGUUGGAGAGGAAGUGGCCUCUGUAGAAGAAGGCACUGUUGUGGCAUUGUUAUUGGCAGUAGGGGAGGAACUGAGAUCUGUAGAUGUAGGCACUGUGGUGGGACUCUCAGUGGGGGUUGGAGAGGAAGUGGCUGCUGUAGAAGAAAUCACUGUGGUCGUGCUGUCAGUGGAAGGUGGAGACGAACUGGCCUCUGAAGAGGAAGACGUUGUGGUGGCACCUUCAGUGGAUGUUGGAGAGGAAGUGGCCUCUGUAGAAGAAGACACUGUUGUGGUGGCACCUUCAGUGGAUGUUGGAGAGGAAGUGGCCUCUGUAGAAGAAGACACUGUUGUGGCAUUGUUAUUGGCAGUAGGGGAGGACCUGAGAUCUGUAGAUGUAGGCACUGUGGUGGGAGUCUCAGUGGGGGUUGGAGAGGAAGUGGCUGCUGUAGAAGAAAUCACUGUGGUCGUGCUGUCAGUGGAAGGUGGAGACGAACUGGCCUCUGAAGAGGAAGACGUUGUGGUGGCACCUUCAGUGGAUGUUGGAGAGGAAGUGGCCUCUGUAGAAGAAGGCACUGUUGUGGCAUUGUUAUUGGCAGUAGGGGAGGACCUGAGAUCUGUAGAUGUAGGCACUGUGGUGGGACUCUCAGUGGGGGUUGGAGAGGAAGUGGCUGCUGUAGAAGAAAUCACUGUGGUCGUGCUGUCAGUGGAAGGUGGAGACGAACUGGCCUCUGAAGAGGAGGACGUUGUGGUGGCACCUUCAGUGGAUGUUGGAGAGGAAGUGGCCUCUGUAGAAGAAGACACUGUUGUGGCAUUGUUAUUGGCAGUAGGGGAGGACCUGAGAUCUGUAGAUGUAGGCACUGUGGUGGGAGUCUCAGUGGGGGUUGGAGAGGAAGUGGCUGCUGUAGAAGAAAUCACUGUGGUCGUGCUGUCAGUGGAAGGUGGAGACGAACUGGCCUCUGAAGAGGAAGACGUUGUGGUGGCACCUUCAGUGGAUGUUGGAGAGGAAGUGGCUGCUGUAGAAGAAAUCACUGUGGUCGUGCUGUCAGUGGAAGGUGGAGACGAACUGGCCUCUGAAGAGGAAGACGUUGUGGUGGCACCUUCAGUGGAUGUUGGAGAGGAAGUGGCUGCUGUAGAAGAAAUCACUGUGGUCGUGCUGUCAGUGGAAGGUGGAGACGAACUGGCCUCUGAAGAGGAAGACGUUGUGGUGGCACCUUCAGUGGAUGUUGGAGAGGAAGUGGCUGCUGUAGAAGAAAUCACUGUGGUCGUGCUGUCAGUGGAAGGUGGAGACGAACUGGCCUCUGAAGAGGAAGACGUUGUGGUGGCACCUUCAGUGGAUGUUGGAGAGGAAGUGGCUGCUGUAGAAGAAAUCACUGUGGUCGUGCUGUCAGUGGAAGGUGGAGACGAACUGGCCUCUGAAGAGGAAGACGUUGUGGUGGCACCUUCAGUGGAUGUUGAAAAAAUCUGGUUUCAAAAUCCAUUGUCUGAAUGA
This 4305-nucleotide long non-coding RNA is filed under the name Felis catus (domestic cat). RNAcentral describes it as "lncRNA (ENSFCAG00000052706.1)". The record is from RNAcentral. Lineage: Eukaryota; Metazoa; Chordata; Mammalia; Carnivora; Felidae.